AUGGUUAAAAGGGGUUUUGUUACAGUUACAGUUAGUCACAUGUUUGAUAGAAUCUGCUGGAGGUUAGAGCCGGUUAUAGGUGAAAUUCUGUUUAGUCUUCCAUUUAGAAAUUUGGUUGAAAGUUGGUUGGCUAUUUUGGAUCUAUUAGUUAUAGGUUGUUUGAAAUUUUGUUAUGCUGGAUUAGUUUUGUGGUUUAUAUGA
This is a non-coding RNA of Vicia faba (fava bean), 201 nucleotides long. The record is from the annotation of a GenBank genome assembly. Lineage: Eukaryota; Viridiplantae; Streptophyta; Magnoliopsida; Fabales; Fabaceae.